RNAcentral lists this small nucleolar RNA (81 nucleotides) under Cebus imitator (Panamanian white-faced capuchin). Its description in RNAcentral is "Small nucleolar RNA SNORD115 (ENSCCAG00000012225.1)". It matches the Rfam family "Small nucleolar RNA SNORD115". Rfam says of the family: HBII-52 is a member of the C/D class of snoRNAs, which contain the C (UGAUGA) and D (CUGA) box motifs. HBII-52 is encoded in a tandemly repeated array with another C/D snoRNA, HBII-85, in the Prader-Willi syndrome (PWS) region of chromosome 15. HBII-52 is exclusively expressed in the brain but is absent in PWS patients. Lineage: Eukaryota; Metazoa; Chordata; Mammalia; Primates; Cebidae. The record is from Rfam by way of RNAcentral.
GGGUCAACGAUGAGAUCUUAUAUUUCUCUGAAGAGAGGUGAUGACUUAAAAAUCAUGCUCAAUAGGAUUACGCUGAGGCCC